GGAUUGCGGCGACGUGAGCGGUUCGCUGCCCGCGACGUCGCAGAAGUUCGCUGAACCUUAUCAUUUAGAGGAAGGAGAAGUCGUAACAAGGUUUCCGUAGGUGAACCUGCGGAAGGAUCAUUGUCGAAUCCUGCCCGGCAGACGACCGCGAACAAGUUAACGAACCGUCGGGCGGCCGGCGGGCGCGGGAAAUCUCGCUCGUCGGCUCCCGAGCAAAAACCGAACUCCCGGCGCGGAACGCGCCAAGGAAUACUGAAACGGAUCGCCGGCCUCCCGCGGCUUCCGCGAGGGGCGCCGGGCGUCUGGUCGUUUAACCGAAACGACUCUCGGCAACGGAUAUCUAGGCUCUCGCAUCGAUGAAGAACGUAGCGAAAUGCGAUACUUGGUGUGAAUUGCAGAAUCCCGUGAACCAUCGAGUUUUUGAACGCAAGUUGCGCCCGAAGCCAUCAGGUUGAGGGCACGUCUGCCUGGGCGUCACGCAUCGCGUCGUCAACCCCCUCCACGCCCCUGCGCGGGACGGACGGGGUGACGGAUGUUGGCCCCCCGUGCCCCUUGCGGCGCGGUCGGCCUAAACGCGAGCCCCCGGCGCGGGACGUCACGACGAGUGGUGGUUGAACCCCUCAACUCGAGAGCUGUCGCGACGACGCCCGACGGGGAGCUCUCCCGACCCUGGAGCCGUCGGCCCCCGAGAGGAGCCGCGAGCCUCGACCG
RNAcentral lists this ribosomal RNA (711 nucleotides) under Appunia debilis. RNAcentral describes it as "eukaryotic LSU rRNA". The stretch from base 322 to 477 matches the Rfam family "5.8S ribosomal RNA". The record is from RNAcentral. Lineage: Eukaryota; Viridiplantae; Streptophyta; Magnoliopsida; Gentianales; Rubiaceae.